This 1976-nucleotide ribosomal RNA is filed under the name human gut metagenome. Its description in RNAcentral is "bacterial LSU rRNA". It matches the Rfam family "Bacterial large subunit ribosomal RNA", at positions 917 to 2925 of the family's 2925-position model. The record is from RNAcentral.
AACUAGGGGGCGUAUUGCUUACUGAAUUCAAUCAAACUCCGAAUACCAUAAUUCAAGAGCUCAGGAGUGAGACUAUGGGAAUUAACUUCCAUUGUCAAAAGGGAAACAACCCAGACCACCAGCUAAGGUCCCUAAUUAUAACUAAGUGGGAAAGGAGGUGGAGAUUCAUAAACAACCAGGAGGUUGGCUUAGAAGCAGCCAUACCUUUAAAGAGUGCGUAAUAGCUCACUGGUCGAGAGUCUCUGCGCCGACAAUGUAACGGGGCUAAGUUAUAAACCGAAGCUGUGGAAUUGCGCAAGCAAUUGGUAGGAGAGCGUUCUGUAGGCCGUUGAAGGAGAACUGAUAAGGGACUCUGGAGGUAUCAGAAGUGAGAAUGCAGGAAUAAGUAGCGAGAAGGGAGGCGAGAAUCCUCCCCGCCGGAAGACCAAGGUUUUCAGGGUAAAGCUUGUCUUCCCUGAGUAAGCCGGGACCUAAGCCGAGGCUAAAGUGCGUAGGCGAAUGGAAAACAGAUUAAUAUUUCUGUGCCAGUUAUAUUUUGUGAUGGAGGGACGCAGAAGGGUAUGCACGCAGGAGAACGGAAGUUCCUGUGGAAGCGCGUAGAGUGAUCUAGUAGGCAAAUCCGCUAGAUUAGACUUGAGGCGUAAAGGAAAGGUGCAAAUCCCACGCUGCCGAGAAAAGCUUCUAACGUUAAGGUAUAACUGCCCGUACCCGAAACCGACACAGGUGGUCAGGAUGAGAAAUCUAAGGCGGACAGGCUAACUCUCGUUAAGGAACUCUGCAAAAUUGCCCCGUAACUUAGGGAGAAGGGGUGCCUCUGAAUGUUAGUAAACACGCGUUACAAAGCGUUUGGAGGUCGCAGUGAAGAGGCUCAAGCAACUGUUUAACAAAAACACAGGUCUAUGCUAAGCUGUAAGGCGAUGUAUAUGGGCUGACACCUGCCCAGUGCCGGAAGGUUAAGAGGAGGAGUGAGAGCUCCGAAUUGAAGCCCCGGUGAACGGCGGCCGUAACUAUAACGGUCCUAAGGUAGCGAAAUUCCUUGUCGGGUAAGUUCCGACCUGCACGAAUGGUGUAAUGAUUUGAGCGCUGUCUUGACGGGAGGCCUGGUGAAAUUGUAUUACCGGUGAAGAUACCGGUUACCUACAGUAGGACGGAAAGACCCCAUGGAGCUUUACUGUAGCUUGGUAUUGGGUUCUGGCAUUGCAUGUAUAGGAUAGUUGGGAAACUAUGAUGGUAUGGCGCUAGCUGUAUCGGAGUUGUCGGUGGAAUACCAACCAUUCAAUGUCGGAAUUCUAAUCUGUGGUUUGUAGCCACGGAAACAGUGCUAGGUGGGCAGUUUGACUGGGGCGGUCGCCUCCGAAAGAGUAACGGAGGCGUUCAAAGGUUCUCUCAGGUUGGAUGGAAAUCAACCGCAGAGUGCAAUGGCAUAAGAGAGCUUGACUGCAAGACUGACGGGUCGAGCAGGUGCGAAAGCAGGACAUAGUGAUCCGGCGAUUCCGAAUGGAAGGGUCGUCGCUCAACGGAUAAAAGCUACCCUGGGGAUAACAGGCUGAUCCUACCCGAGAGUCCAUAUCGACGGUAGGGUUUGGCACCUCGAUGUCGGCUCAUCGCAUCCUGGGGCUGGAGAAGGUCCCAAGGGUUGGGCUGUUCGCCCAUUAAAGCGGUACGUGAGCUGGGUUCAGAACGUCGUGAGACAGUUCGGUCCCUAUCCACUGUAGGCGUAAGAAUAUUGAGAAGAUCUGUCCUUAGUACGAGAGGACCGGGAUGGACAAACCUCUGAUGUACCAGUUGUCACGCCAGUGGCACAGCUGGGUAGUCACGUUUGGAACGGAUAACCGCUGAAAGCAUCUAAGCGGGAAACCAGCUUCAAGAUAAGUAUUCUUUAAGACUCCUUCGAGACUAGGAGGUUGAUAGGUUGGGGGUGUAAGAGUUGUGAGACUUUUAGCUGACCAAUACUAAUAAGUCGAAGUUUUAACCUA